This 447-nucleotide ribosomal RNA is filed under the name uncultured bacterium. RNAcentral describes it as "bacterial SSU rRNA". It matches the Rfam family "Bacterial small subunit ribosomal RNA", at positions 330 to 793 of the family's 1533-position model. The record is from RNAcentral.
CCCAGACUCCUACGGGAGGCAGCAGUGGGGGAUAUUGCACAAUGGGGGGAACCCUGAUGCAGCGACGCCGCGUGGGUGAAGGAGCGUUUCGGCGCGUAAAGCCCUAUCGGCAGGGAAGAAGGAGGACGGUACCUGACUAAGAAGCCCCGGCUAACUACGUGCCAGCAGCCGCGGUAAUACGUAGGGGGCAAGCGUUAUCCGGAUUUACUGGGUGUAAAGGGGGCGCAGACGGCAGCGCAAGCCAGGAGUGAAAGCCCGGGGCCCAACCCCGGGACUGCUCUUGGAACUGCGCGGCUGGAGUGCAGGAGGGGCAGGCGGAAUUCCUGGUGUAGCGGUGAAAUGCGUAGAUAUCAGGAGGAACACCGGUGGCGAAGGCGGCCUGCUGGACUGCAACUGACGUUGAGGCCCGAAAGCGUGGGGAGCAAACAGGAUUAGAUACCCUAGUAG